GCGUGAGUGAUGAAGGCCCUAGGGUCGUAAAGCUCUUUCGCCAGGGAUGAUAAUGACAGUACCUGGUAAAGAAACCCCGGCUAACUCCGUGCCAGCAGCCGCGGUAAUACGUAGGGGGUUAGCGUUGUUCGGAAUUACUGGGCGUAAAGCGCGCGUAGGCGGAUCAGAAAGUUAGGGGUGAAAUCCCGGGGCUCAACCCCGGAACGGCCUCUAAAACUCCUGGUCUUGAGUUCGAGAGAGGUGAGUGGAAUUCCGAGUGUAGAGGUGAAAUUCGUGGAUAUUCGGAGGAACACCAGUGGCGAAGGCGGCUCACUGGCUCGAUACUGACGCUGAGGUGCGAAAGUGUGGGGAGCAAACAGGAUUAGAUACCCUGGUAGUCCGCACCGUAAACGAUGAAUGCCAGUCGUCGGGUAGCAUGCUGCUCGGUGACACACCUAACGGAUUAAGCAUUCCGCCUGGGGAGUACGGUCCCAAGAUU
This 478-nucleotide ribosomal RNA is filed under the name uncultured bacterium. RNAcentral describes it as "bacterial SSU rRNA". It matches the Rfam family "Bacterial small subunit ribosomal RNA", at positions 399 to 895 of the family's 1533-position model. The record is from RNAcentral.